Molecule: ribosomal RNA, 515 nt
Filed under: uncultured euryarchaeote
Lineage: Archaea; Methanobacteriati; Methanobacteriota
Description: bacterial SSU rRNA
Rfam family: Archaeal small subunit ribosomal RNA
Source: RNAcentral
UCCGGUUGAUCCUGCCGGAGGCGACCGCUUUUGGAGUUCGAUUAAGCCAUGCGAGUCGAGAGCCUUAGGGGCUCGGCAUACUGCUCAGUAACACGUGGAUAACCUGCCCUAUUGUCUGGAAUAACCUCGGGAAACUGAGAACAAGGCCGGAUAGCCCACAAUGCCUGGAACGGUUUGUGGGUGAAGAUAGGAUGGGUCUGCGGCGUAUCAGGUUGUAGGGGGUGUAAUGGACCUCCUAGCCAUCGACGCGUACGGGUGUUGGGAGACAUAGCCCGGAGAUGGAUUCUGAGACACGAAUCCAGACCCUACGGGGUGCAGCAGGCGCGAAAACUUCACACUGCAGGAAACUGUGAUGAGGGAACUCCAAGUGCUAUCACUAUGUGGUAGCUUUUCUUGACUAUUAAUCGGUCAUGGAAUAAGGGCUGGGAAAGACCGGUGCCAGACGACGCGGUAAUACCGGCAGCUCAAGUGGUCGUCGCUUUUAUUGGGCCUAAAACGUCCGUAGCCUGUUAGGU